ACUCAAAUGAAUUGACGGGGCCCCGCACAAGCAGCGGAGCGUGUGGUUUAAUUCGAUGCAACGCGAAGAACCUUACCUGGGCUUGACAUCUACUUGCAACCUCUUGAAAGAGAGGCCUCUUCGGACAGGUAGACAGAUGUUGCAUGGCUGUCGUCAGCUCGUGUCGUGAGAUGUUGGGUUAAGUCCCGCAACGAGCGCAACCCUUGUCUUUAGUUGGAUUUCUAGAGAGACUGCCGGAAACAAACCGGAGGAAGGUGGGGAUGACGUCAAGUCAGCAUGACUCUUACGUCCAGGGCUACACACACGCUACAAUGGCCGUUACAACGAGAAGCCAACCCGCGAGGGAGAGCAGACCUCUAAAAGGCGGCCCCAGUUCAGAUUGCACUCUGCAACCCGAGUGCAUGAAGUCGGAGUUGCUAGUAACCGCGUGACAGCAUAGCGCGGUGAAUAUGUUCCCGGGGCUUGUACACACCGCCCGU
RNAcentral lists this ribosomal RNA (479 nucleotides) under uncultured bacterium. RNAcentral describes it as "partial 16S ribosomal RNA". It matches the Rfam family "Bacterial small subunit ribosomal RNA", at positions 899 to 1397 of the family's 1533-position model. The record is from RNAcentral.